RNAcentral lists this ribosomal RNA (224 nucleotides) under uncultured fungus. RNAcentral describes it as "partial small subunit ribosomal RNA". The stretch from base 103 to 224 matches the Rfam family "Eukaryotic small subunit ribosomal RNA", at positions 742 to 864 of the family's 1831-position model. Lineage: Eukaryota; Fungi. The record is from RNAcentral.
GGCUUGAAACAUUAAGCCGGCCACGGUUUCGUGUGUUAGUGCUUGAUGUUCUGGCCAUCCUUCCAAUUGCUAUUCAUCUUUCUUCAUUGAUGGGUGAGUAGUAUUGGAUCUUUUACUUUGAACAAAUUAGAGUGUUUCAAGCAGGCUUUAUGCUAUGAAUACAUUAGCAUGGAAUAAUAAUUUAGGACUUCGGUUCUAUUUUGUUGGUUUCUAGGACUGAAGUA